RNAcentral lists this ribosomal RNA (427 nucleotides) under uncultured prokaryote. RNAcentral's name for it is "bacterial SSU rRNA". It matches the Rfam family "Bacterial small subunit ribosomal RNA", at positions 355 to 774 of the family's 1533-position model. The record is from RNAcentral.
UCUAGAGGCUUCGGCAAUGGACGAAAGUCUGACCGAGCGACGCCGCGUGUGCGAUGAAGCCCUUCGGGGUGUAAAGCACUGUCAGUAGGGACGAAAGCGCGGGAGGAGUCCUUCUCGCGCCUGACGGUACCUGCAGAGGAAGCGCCGGCUAACUCUGUGCCAGCAGCCGCGGUAAUACAGAGGGCGCAAGCGUUGUUCGGAUUUAUUGGGCGUAAAGGGCGCGUAGGCGGGCGAGUCAGUCCGAUGUAAAAUCUUCACAGCUCAACUGGAAGGAGCCAUCGGAUACUACUCGUCUUGAGGCCAUUAGAGGUGGACGGAAUUCCUGGUGUAGCGGUGGAAUGCGUAGAUAUCAGGAAGAACACCGAUUGCGAAGGCGGUUCACUGGGAUGGCCCUGACGCUGAGGCGCGAAAGCCAGGGGAGCAAACG